AAACAAAUACAUUAAGAAGCUAAGAAAUAUGUAUAUGUAUAUGUCAUUUUAAUUCAAACACAAGUAUUUGGAGUGUUUCAACCCAUCCUAUAAUGUUCAAAGCAAACUUAGUUCUUUACCCAUGUUAUCAUAUAAUAGGUUUCACGUAUCUGAUAAAAGUAGUUCUACGUUACUUGUACUUUUUCUUUUGUUUUGAUAUCUUUCACCCAUCUUUGUCUAUAUAAACUGUCAUUUUCUUUAUUUCUUUUGUCAUGUUCAUUUUUUUAAAACAACAUAUUAUGAUAUCAUUACAUUAUAUUUUAUAACUUUAGUUUUAAAAGAAUUUAAACAUAAAUACAUUAUAAUUUAAGUCAAUAAAGUUAAUCAUAAAAAUACACAUAUUCUCUUGUUGUUGUGUUUAAAACAUAUAUUUAAUUUUUAAAAAUGGUAUAAAAUAAGUAAUUCACUCUACCAAAGUUUAUUUGGUGUAAUAAACCUUGUCACCUUUAGAAGGCUACUAUAAUAAACAAAUACAUUAAUUAGCUAAAUGAUAUGUAUAUGAGUAUGUCGUUUUAAUUCAAAGACAUGCAUUCGGAGUGUUUCGACCCAUCCUAUAAUGUUCAAAGCAAACUUACUUCUUUACCUAUGUAUCCAUCUAAUAGGUUUCACGUUUCUAGUAAAAGUAGUUCUACGUUAUUUUUACAUUUUCUUUUGUUUUCAUAACUUUAACCCAUCUUUGUCUAAAUAAACUGUCAUUUCCUUUAUUUCUUUUUCUCACGUUCAUUUUUUUAAAACAACAUAUUAUGAUAACAAUACAUUAUAUUUUGUAAUUUUAAUUUUAAAAAAAUUCAAAUCUCAAUAAUUUACAGUUUAAGUCAAUAAACUUAAUCAUAAAAAAUAUGCAUAGUCUCUUGUGUUAGUGUUUAAAACAUAUAUUUAAUUUUUAAAAAUGGUAUAAAAUAAGAAAAUCAUUCUACAAAUGUGGAUUUGGUGUAAUAAACCUAGUCACCUUGAGAAUGCUACUAUGUUAAGCAAAUACAUUAAGCAGCUAAGUAAUACGUAUAUGAAUAUGUCAUUUUAAGUCAAAGACAUGCAUUUGGAUUGUUUCAACUCAUCCUAUAAUGUUCCUAGCAAACUUAGGUCUUUACCCAUGUGUCCAUCUAAUAGGUCUCACGUUUCUAAUAAAAGUAGUUCUACGCUAUUUUCACAUUUUGUUUUGUUUUCAUAACAUUAACCCAUCUUUGUGUAUAUAAACUGUCAUUUUCUUUAUUUCUCUUUUCUUGUUGAUUCUUUUUUAAAACAACAUAUUUUGAUAUCAAUACAUUAUAUUUUAUAAUUUUAGAUUUUAAAAAAUUAAACAUCAUUACGUUAGAAUUUAAGUCAAUAAAAUUAAUCAUAAAAAUACACAUACUCUCUUGUUUUUGUGUUUAAAACAUAUAUUAAAUUUUUAAAAAUGGUAUAAAAUAAGUAAAUCACUCUACGAACAUUGACUCAGUGUAAUAAACCUAGUCACCUUGAGAAGGCUACUAUGCUAAACAAAUACAUUAAGAAGCUAAGAAAUAUGUAUAUGUAUAUGUCAUUUUAAUUCAAACACAAGUAUUUGGAGUGUUUCAACCCAUCCUAUAAUGUUCAAAGCAAACUUAGUUCUUUACCCAUGUUAUCAUAUAAUAGGUUUCACGUAUCUGAUAAAAGUAGUUCUACGUUACUUGUACUUUUUCUUUUGUUUUGAUAUCUUUCACCCAUCUUUGUCUAUAUAAACUGUCAUUUUCUUUAUUUCUUUUGUCAUGUUCAUUUUUUUAAAACAAC
This 1785-nucleotide long non-coding RNA is filed under the name Lathyrus oleraceus (garden pea). RNAcentral's name for it is "Pisum sativum (pea) long non-coding RNA (PSAT_LNC039927)". Lineage: Eukaryota; Viridiplantae; Streptophyta; Magnoliopsida; Fabales; Fabaceae. The record is from RNAcentral.